This 459-nucleotide ribosomal RNA is filed under the name uncultured bacterium. RNAcentral's name for it is "partial 16S ribosomal RNA". It matches the Rfam family "Bacterial small subunit ribosomal RNA", at positions 338 to 795 of the family's 1533-position model. The record is from RNAcentral.
CCUACGGGCGGCAGCAGUGAGGAAUAUUGGUCAAUGGUCGGGAGCCUGAACCAGCCAAGUCGCGUGAAGGAUGAAUGUCCUGAGUGUUGUAAACUUCUUUUAUCAAGGAAUAAAGUGAGGCACGCGUGCCUUUUUGAGUGUACUUUAUGAAUAAGCAUCGGCUAACUCCGUGCCAGCAGCCGCGGUAAUACGGAGGAUCCGAGCGUUAUCCGGAUUUAUUGGGUUUAAAGGGUGCGUAGGCGGUGUGUUAAGUCAGGGGUCAAAUUGAGGGGCUCAACCCCUUCCCGCCGUUGAAACUGGCAGUCUUGAGUUGAAGAGAAGUAUGCGGAAUGCGUGGUGUAGCGGUGAAAUGCAUAGAUAUCGCGCAGAACCCCGAUUGCGAAGGCAGCAUGCCGGCUUCCGACUGACGCUGAAGCACGAAAGCGUGGGGAUCGAACAGGAUUAGAUACCCUUGUAGUC